AGUUGCAGUGCGUUUACGUGUGGCUGGUUCUUCCUGCUUCACGCUGUAUUUCCGUGGGUUGGUUACACUUAAAAAAUACUUUUGAUGAUUAUAAAGCCUUUAAACAGAUAUUUCAAAGACUGCUGUCAGCACAUUGAACUCCCUUGUUAGUUCAGGUAAGGCCCCCCCAGUGAGGAGGUGGGUAUCAGUCCCACUUGGAUAUGGUUCCUGUAGGGUUAUCAUUCUUAUAUGGAUAUAGUUCCUAUAGGGGUAUCAUUCCUAUAUGGAUAUAGUUCCUGUAGGGGUAUCAUUGCUGUAUGGAUACAGUUCCUGUAGGGGUAUCAUUGCUAUAUGGAUAUAGUUCCUGUAGGGGUAUCAUUGCUGUAUGGAUAUAGUUCCUGUAGGGGUAUCAUUCCUAUAUGGAUAUAGUUCCUGUAGGGAUAUCAUUCCUAUAUGGAUAUAGUUCCUGUAGGGGUAUCAUUGCUAUAUGGAUAUAGUUCCUGUAGGGGUAUCAUUGCUGUAUGGAUAUAGUUCCUGUAGGGGUAUCAUUCCUAUAUGGAUAUAGUUCCUGUAGGGAUAUCAUUCCUAUAUGGAUAUAGUUCCUGUAGGGGUAUCAUUGCUAUAUGGAUAUAGUUCCUGUAGGGGUAUCAUUGCUAUAUGGAUAUAGUUCCUGUAGGGGUAAUGUUAUGGGUGCUCAAUGUCUGUCUCUGGUAGUGAGAGAGAAAGCCUUCCUCAGGGCUGGCUCUUGUCACCCACCUGUCCAGGGUGGCCUCUGCCUCUUCAUGCUGCCCCUUGUCCACCAGGUCCAUACCCUGGAACUGCCCGCCCCUCCCCAGGCUCAGGCUAGACUCUGCUGCAGACUUUGGGACCAGGAAGGGGAGGGGCCAGUCUCAAUGCAAAGGCGGACCUGAGACACCUGUCCCGGAAGGACCUGCAGCACCUCCUCCGGUGCUUCUAAUGUGAGAUGGUGCUGCCUGAUCCUUUUCCAAAGUGGCUCCAUUCACUAGGAAGUGGGUUCCUCGGCACAGAUGUGUUGCUGUGUUUGGUGUUGCAGGCUCGGGGGCUUUUGUGGACAUAGUGUGGCUUUGAGAUGCCAAGGACUGGGUGAGGGCAGGGUCCCUGCAGAGCGACUCAGUGUCACAGUGAGGCGAGGCCCUGAGGCUCCCACAAGCUCACAGCACACAGGAAAACUCAUGCUGGAAAAAGCAUCAGGUGGUGUAGACAUCAGGCCCCAGAGGAGGUGGAGCUACCUACUCCUUGAAGAUCAGUUCCCCAUUUAUUAGUCAUACACUUGAGUCAUAAGAGAGAGAGAUUAAGUAAAAAGGUGAUCGAUUGCAAGGUGAAGAAGUGGCCAGCAGCCCAGCCAGCCAGGUUUUCCUUCUUUCUCGUGGGUGGUGAACACACCAGUGCCAUCUGCAGCCGCCUAGCACACUGAGGCUUCACACACUCUCAGGGGAGACCCACCUCACCUCAGGACGCCUCAGUGCACCUGUCCUGGGUCUGCCUGGAGACUGGCGAGGGUGUUGUCAUCCACACCCAGAACAAGUGCGGCAAGACACCAUGUAACCUGUCUCCUCCGGGAGAGAGGGUAACCCUCAUGGGUUCCCUCCGUUAUGUGGGCUUUGUUUCCAGUUGCGACAAAGAGUAGCUGCUGGUGUAGAACAGUGCAUUUCAGGCAAACUAUUUGAGGCAAACUUCAGAUACAGUGGGACCACUUGACGUUGUUGUUGGUUAACAAAAAUAAUCAUAUCUGCUCCAAAGCACAGAUGAAAAGUCAACAGACACUUUCCAAGGCUGCUGGCAGAUUUUUGUUUUAGACUUUCACUGCGAAGUGUGUUCGUUCUAAUCACCCAAACCCGGCCCUGAGGUUGUCGUAUUGAAGUCGUUCCAGCCACACGCGGAUGCUGCGGCUCUGAAGGGCCUUGGAUUUGCAGCUCAACAGAAGAAGAAGAAGAAGGUCUCCCUCAGCAGCUGCUUUCACU
Macaca mulatta (Rhesus monkey) is the source of this 1961-nucleotide long non-coding RNA. The record is from Ensembl. NCBI's taxonomy places the organism in Eukaryota, Metazoa, Chordata, Mammalia, Primates, Cercopithecidae.